RNAcentral lists this long non-coding RNA (1052 nucleotides) under Gallus gallus (chicken). Its description in RNAcentral is "lncRNA (ENSGALG00010020067.1)". The record is from RNAcentral. Lineage: Eukaryota; Metazoa; Chordata; Aves; Galliformes; Phasianidae.
CUGUUGUCCGCUGUCCUGUCACGGAAUCUUAGAAUCAUGAGGGUUGGAAAAGACCUCUAUGAUCCUCUCGUACAAUCGUCCACCUACCGCCAAUACUGCCCACUAACCGUGUCCCUCAGUGAUGCAUCAUAUCUCCACGGUUCUUGAAUGCCUCCAGGGACGGUGCCUCCUGAGGCAGCCUGUUCCAAUGUAUCGCCACUCUUCCUGAGGAGACAUUUUUCCUGAUGUUCAAUCUGACUCCUCACUCCUGAGCCCUCUUCCUUCCCCAAGGCCCCAGAGGUGAUAGGGGACCAGGGCUGCCUACUACCAAAGUGCCACAGGUUGGUUGUGGUGGUGCAGGUGCUUUAUGUGUGGGGCAGGUGAAUGAGGGCCCAAUUCGUGUCACACCAAAGGGAGUGGGAGAAAAGUCAAGGGAAGAGGUGGGGUCUUUUACUGGAGCAACAGAUAAGCACACACUUCGAGGGAAGACCAGGCCUCUGCUUUCCAGCAAACACCCUCCAGAGCUGUAAGUGAAGUGGCAGCAUUCACGGCUAAGCUGAAAGUAAUUGUGCUAAUAUUUUAAUGGCCUACCUGCCACUGAAAAUGAUUGAACACCCGACAAAUGAUGAUCAGGAACCAAGGCAAGAUGACCACCUUCAGUGGGUACAACGGCGGCCAUGUGCUCCUGCGGCAGGAGGGAGCAGAGUGGUCUACAGCUCCUGGCCCUGCAGAGCCCAUACUUCUGUUAUUCAACAAAAAGCUGCAGGUUCCCCUUGGGAUUCUAGUAGAACUGAGCUUAAAAGUGUGCUCUUGAGGAUCAGCCCCGGGAGCUGAGAGAAGUGCUCCCUCAGAGAGAUCUGGCAGUUCUACUUGUUGCUGUCAGCACUUGUAGCUAUAGCAACUGUGCUGGUGCUGCUUGUAUGUGCAGAUGUUACUGCCUGGAAGCUGACAUUCUUCAUGUUGACCGUGAUGCUAGAAAGUAGAGGUCAGCAGAGUAGUAUACUAGGGGGCAAGUUUAAUAGAACAGCAAUAAUUACAGAAUUGGGUGCUGAAAUAUCAGCAGACGAAAGGAG